UUUGAGAGACUUAAGAAAGUUUUUCAUUGUAACUUGCUUGCAAAUUGUAUUUGCAACAUUUUAAUCUUUUUAAGAUUAAGGGCCUAUAGCUCAGUUGGUUAGAGCACACGCCUGAUAAGCGUGAGGUCGGUGGUUCAAGUCCAUUUAGGCCCACCAUAACCACAAAUAGGCAAAAUCUUAAAAAAGCUCUUUGAAAAGUAGAUAAACGAAGGUUAAAAAAUCAAAGGAACUAAGGGCGCACAGUGGAUGCCUUGGCACUAAGAGCCGAUGAAGGACGCAAUUAACGGCGAAACGCCACGGGAAGCUGUAAAUAAGUGAAGAUCCGUGGGUCUCCGAAUGGGAAAACCCAUUACAUUGAAGAUGUAAUAUUCUUCUAAUGCGAUUUAUCUUGUUAGAAGAAAGGAAACGCGGCGAACUGAAAUAUCUAAGUAACCGCAGGAAAAGAAAGUAAUAACGAUUCUGGUAGUAGUGACGAGCGAACCCGGAACAGCCUGAUACCAUUUCUAGUUACAAAAUUUUAACGAAGUAGAAGCUUUUGGAAAGAAGCACCAAAGAAGGUGACAGUCCCGUAAACGUAAGUUAAAAUCUAGGGUAUCAAUAAGUACGGCGAGACACGAGAAAUCUUGUCGGAAGAUGGGAGGACCAUCUCCUAAGGCUAAAUACUUCUUAGUGACCGAUAGUGAACUAGUACCGUGAGGGAAAGGUGAAAAGAACCCCGAAAGGGGAGUGAAAUAGAUCCUGAAACUGUGUGCCUACAAUUAGUCAAAGCACGUUAAUGUGUGAUGGCUUGCCUUUUGCAGAAUGAACCGGCGAGUUAUGAUAUGGAGCAAGGUUAAGUUUUAAGGAACGGAGCCGUAGCGAAAGCGAGUCUUAAUAGGGCGUUUAGUUGCAUGUCAUAGACCCGAAACUGAAGUGAGCUAGCCAUGAGCAGGUUGAAGUUUAGGUAAAACUAAAUGGAGGACCGAACCAGGACACGUUGAAAAGUGUUUGGAUGACUUGUGGCUAGGGGUGAAAUUCCAAUCGAACUCAGAGAUAGCUGGUUCUCCCCGAAAUAGCUUUAGGGCUAGCGUUGAUUUAGUAAUUUGGUGAAGGUAGAGCACUGAAUGAGUAAGGGCUCCACCUCGGGGUACCGAACUCAAUCAAACUCCGAAUGUUACCAAAUAAAAUCAGCAGUCAGACUGUGGGUGAUAAGGUCCAUGGUCAAAAGGGAAAGAGCCCAGACCGUCAGCUAAGGUCCCAAAAUUGAUGUUAAGUGGCAAAGGAAGUGAAGACGUUUAAACAACUAGGAGGUUGGCUUAGAAGCAGCCAUCCUUUAAAGAGUGCGUAAUAGCUCACUAGUCGAAUGACUCUGCGCCGAAAAUGUACCGGGGCUAAAACAUCAUACCGAAGCUACGGAUUGAAAUAACUUCUUAGUUAUUUGAAUGGUAGGGGAAGCGUUCUGACAUCAGUGAAGCCAUAGCGGAAGCAGUGGUGGAGAGGUCAGAAGUGAGAAUGCCGGUGUAAGUAACGAAAAGAUAGGUGAGAAUCCUAUCCGUCAAAAACCCAAGGUUUCCAGGGCCAGGUUCGUCCUCCCUGGGUUAGUCGGGUCCUAAGGUGAGGGAGAAAUCCGUAAUCGAUGGCAAGCAGGCUGAGAUUCCUGCACUAGUUAAUCAACUGACGGAGGGACAAAGCAGGCUAAACACGCCCCUUAUUGGAUUGGGGUAGAAAAACUAAGUCUGAGAAGACAGGCAAAUCCAUUUUCUCAUUUAAAGACAAGGUUUGAAAGUAAAGUGAUUGAUGUCAUACUUUCAAGAAAAGCUUCUAGGGCUAAUUGAUUAACUACCCGUACCGCAAACCGACACAGGUGGGUAGGUAGAGUAUACUAAGACGCGCGAGCAAACUCUUGUUAAGGAACUCGGCAAAAUUACUCCGUAACUUAGGGAUAAGGAGAGCUUUUAUUAAAACUAAAAGCCGCAGAGAAUAGGCCCAAGCGACUGUUUAUCAAAAACAUAGGUCUCUGCUAAACCGCAAGGUGAUGUAUAGGGGCUGAUGCCUGCCCGGUGCUGGAAGAUUAAAAGGAGAUGUCAGGCAACGAAGCAUUGAAUUGAAGUCCCAGUAAACGGCGGCCGUAACUAUAACGGUCCUAAGGUAGCGAAAUUCCUUGUCGGGUAAGUUCCGACCCGCACGAAAGGCAUAACGAUUUGGGCGCUGUCUCAACAAGAGCCUCGGUGAAAUCAAAUUACCGGUGAAAAUGCCGGUUACCCGCGACAGGACGAAAAGACCCCAUGGAGCUUUACUGCAACUUAAUAUUGAAAUUGGAAAUAAGAUGUACAGGAUAGGUGGGAAACUGUGAGAGAAAAACGCUAGUUUUUCUGGAGUUGUCCUUGGGAUACCACCCUUGUUAUUUUUAGUUUCUAACCUGCACAUGUGUAAUGUGAGGGACAGUGUUUGGUGGGCAGUUUGACUGGGGCGGUCGCCUCCUAAAGAGUAACGGAGGCGUUCGAAGGUUCCCUCAAAAUGGUUGGAAAUCAUUUGUAGAGCAUAAAGGCACAAGGGAGCUUGACUGCAAGACUUACAAGUCGAGCAGGGACGAAAGUCGGACUUAGUGAUCUUACGGUACCGAAUGGAAGGGCCGUGACUCAACGGAUAAAAGCUACCCUGGGGAUAACAGGCUUAUCGCUUCCAAGCGUUCACAGCGACGAAGCGGUUUGGCACCUCGAUGUCGGCUCAUCGCAUCCUGGAGCUGGAGAAGGUUCCAAGGGUUGGGCUGUUCGCCCAUUAAAGCGGAACGCGAGCUGGGUUCAGAACGUCGUGAGACAGUUCGGUCUCUAUCCGUCGUGGGCGUUGGAAAUUUGAAAGGAACUGUCCCUAGUAUGAGAAGACCGGGAUGGAUAUACCGCUGGUGUUUCAGUUGGUUCGCCAGAGCCACAGCUGAGUAGCUAUGUAUAGAAGGGAUAAACACUGAAAGCAUCUAAGUGUGAAGCCUCCCUUAAGAUGAGAUUUCCCUAUGAGGUCCCUGAAAGACUAUCAGGUUGAUAGGCUAGAGGUGUAAGAAGAGUGAUCUUUUCAGCUGACUAGUACUAAUAGACCCAUUGACUUUGAUUU
This 3084-nucleotide ribosomal RNA is filed under the name Onion yellows phytoplasma OY-M. RNAcentral's name for it is "bacterial LSU rRNA". It matches the Rfam family "Bacterial large subunit ribosomal RNA". The record is from RNAcentral. Lineage: Bacteria; Bacillati; Mycoplasmatota; Mollicutes; Acholeplasmatales; Acholeplasmataceae.